RNAcentral lists this ribosomal RNA (616 nucleotides) under Candidatus Subterrananammoxibius californiae. RNAcentral's name for it is "partial 23S ribosomal RNA". It matches the Rfam family "Bacterial large subunit ribosomal RNA", at positions 2045 to 2641 of the family's 2925-position model. The record is from RNAcentral. Lineage: Bacteria; Pseudomonadati; Planctomycetota; Candidatus Brocadiia; Candidatus Brocadiales; Candidatus Subterrananammoxibiaceae.
AAAUGGCUGUGAAGAUGCGGCCAACUUACACCAGGACAAAAAGACCCCGUGGAGCUUUACUGCAACUUGGCAUUGUUUCAAUUGACGAAACUGUAUAGCGUAGGAGGGAGGUACGUUCAGUUACAUGAACGUACCGCCAAUGUAACACCUCUCUUUUCGACUAUUGGAACUUACCGCUUGUCCUAACAAAAUACGGGAGGCGGGACAAUGUCUGGUGGGCAGUUUGACUGGGGCGGUCGCCUCCAAAAGAGUAACGGAGGCGUACAAAGGUCGACUCAAGUCCUACAGAAACGGACUUUUAGAGUGCAAUGGCAUAAGUCGGCUUGACUGCAAGUGGUACAUCACGAGCAGGUGCGAAAGCAGGUCAUAGUGAUCCUCCGCUGGUUCAUGGGAACCGCGGAGCUUAACGGAUAAAAGCUACCCCGGGGAUAACAGGCUGAUCUUCUCCAAGAGUCCAUAUCGACGAGAAGGUUUGGCACCUCGAUGUCGGCUCAACGUAUCCUCCCGCUGAAGUAGGCGGGAAGGGUCGGGCUGUUCGCCCGUUAAAACGUUACGCGAGCUGGGUUCAGAACGUAAAUUACAUUGCGUUCUACCGUAGCAAUACGGUACAAUAAAU